Kogia breviceps (pygmy sperm whale) is the source of this 1484-nucleotide non-coding RNA. The record is from RefSeq and is a predicted model, not a curated record. Lineage: Eukaryota; Metazoa; Chordata; Mammalia; Artiodactyla; Physeteridae.
AGGCCAAGGUAGACCUGGAUGUGCUGUCUCUACCCGAGGAGUCCUGGGACAAACCUUCUGUGGACCUAGUUUCUUAUUAUAUUAAAUAAACUAUUUACCCCUUAGAUUCUUUUCUAAGUCUAAUGUACAUUUUUAUAAUCCCUAUGUUUUAUUCUAGAAAUCUCUUGUCUGACUCCUGCAAUAAAGGUGAUUACUUACUCUUUGGGAGAAGGUGGGCAGAAAGCAGAAAUAUUGGUUAUCAUGUUACUUUCAUUUAUGUUAUGACUUGAAAAGUUUUCAUGUUUCUCAAAUGUGAUUUUAUUAUAUGAAACCCUAAAAUGCUAAGUCUUCCUAGGAUUUCCUAAAAGUAGCACCUGGAAAAAAUUGGGUUUGAGCCAAAAAAACAUUACUUUAAAAGAAACUUCUCUAAAAACAUGUCGAUAUCGGUAUGUAUUUGGAACUAAGCUAGGUGCUAAAACCUUUGUAUUCUUUCCUUUUUAAGAAAAAUCAUUCAGUAAUUAGCAUUGAGAUACAUGAUAAAGGCUUAUGUUUCAUUGGUUUAAGCUUUCAAAUUGGGAAUUUCAAGAAUCUGGUGAAGCACAGGUUCAUCCCCAGGUUUGGCAGUCUGCAAUUUCUAAAUACAGUUUGAACUCUCCGUGCAACUAUAGAUUUCUUUCUAGCUGUAGAUUUCUUUCUAGAUAGUUAUAGUAAUGCACAGAGUGCAGAGGAGUGGAUACCUAUACCUGAAUAUUUGUUUCUCCUCUGUAGGAGGCUGGGAACAAAAUGUUUCUGCUAGUAGAAAAUGACAACUGUAAAUAUGAAGGGAGAAGAACCACACAAUCAGCAGUGGGGCAUGGUAAAGCAAACAUAAGGCAGCUUUAUCCCAAUGUAGAAAUGCUUUGAAGAGAAAUAGAGUUCAAGUGAAAUCUGUUAACCCAACACUGUGAGUGGGUCUCAAUGGAAGAGAAAAAACCCUGAGGCGAAAGAAGUCUCAGGAGGAUCCCAUAAAAGGCUGAAGUGGGGCGACGUCUGCCUUGAGUUGGUCCUCAGCAGAACAGCAUUCUGGGGCAGUGAUGUUAACAAGCAGAAAUAAGAAUGGAGCACUUCAUCUUGUUGAGGAGAAUCAAUCUAUAUAGGCUUGUAGGACUGUGUCCUGUGGAUUUUUGGACUAGGAGCUGUGCCAGGUGCACUCAGAAAAAUUGGGGUCUUCUGAAUAAAGACAUUUCAGAUAAAGAAACAGAAAAAGAAAGAAGUAAAAUGACAUUUCCCACAUCACUCUGUUGGCAUGUUACAGGCCAAAGGUCUUUCAGGACACCCAAGAAGAAACGUCUCUCAACAUUGUUCAUCAGCUGCCUUCUAUCUCAGCUGUCUCUGAGAUAAUCCUCUCCCUGUGUGGGGGCUGACCUGGAGAGCAGUGCUGAGCCUCUGAUCAGACACUAUCCCAUGGGUGCUCAGGGCCCAGAAUCCCAUUGAAUGGAGCAUAGAUGUUUCUGAAGGUCUGAGGA